Molecule: ribosomal RNA, 345 nt
Filed under: uncultured eukaryote
Lineage: Eukaryota
Description: SSU rRNA
Rfam family: Eukaryotic small subunit ribosomal RNA
Source: RNAcentral
AUAGCGUAUAUUAAAGUUGUUGCAGUUAAAAAGCUCGUAGUUGAACCUUGGGUCUGGCUGGCCGGUCCGCCUCACCGCGAGUACUGGUCCGGCUGGACCUUUCCUUCUGGGGAACCUCAUGGCCUUCACUGGCUGUGGGGGGAACCAGGACUUUUACCUUGAGAAAAUUAGAGUGUUCAAAGCAGGCUUAUGCUCGAAUACAUUAGCAUGGAAUAAUAAAAUAGGACGUGCGGUUCUAUUUUGUUGGUUUCUAGAGUCGCCGUAAUGAUUAAUAGGGAUAGUUGGGGGCAUUAGUAUUCAGUUGCUAGAGGUGAAAUUCUUGGAUUUACUGAAGACUAACUACUG